ACGGCUACCUUGUUACGACUUCACCCUAAUCAUCUGUCCUACCUUAGACGGCUGACUCCUAUAAAGGUUAUCCCACCGGCUUUGGGUGUUACAGACUCUCAUGGUGUGACGGGCGGUGUGUACAAGGCCCGGGAACGUAUUCACCGCGGCGUGCUGAUCCGCGAUUACUAGCGAUUCCAGCUUCGUGUAGGCGAGUUGCAGCCUACAGUCCGAACUGAGAACGGCUUUAAGAGAUCCGCUUGCCUUCGCAGGUUCGCUUCUCGUUGUACCGUCCAUUGUAGCACGUGUGUAGCCCAGGUCAUAAGGGGCAUGAUGACUUGACGUCAUCCCCACCUUCCUCCGGUUUGUCACCGGCAGUCUCAUUAGAGUGCCCAACUUAAUGAUGGCAACUAAUGACAAGGGUUGCGCUCGUUGCGGGACUUAACCCAACAUCUCACGACA
RNAcentral lists this ribosomal RNA (441 nucleotides) under uncultured bacterium. Its description in RNAcentral is "partial 16S ribosomal RNA". The record is from RNAcentral.